Molecule: unclassified non-coding RNA, 148 nt
Organism: Pongo abelii (Sumatran orangutan)
Lineage: Eukaryota; Metazoa; Chordata; Mammalia; Primates; Hominidae
Rfam family: Metazoan signal recognition particle RNA
About the family: The signal recognition particle (SRP) is a universally conserved ribonucleoprotein. It is involved in the co-translational targeting of proteins to membranes.
Source: Ensembl
GCUGGGUGUGGUGGUGCAUGCCUGUAACCCCAGCUACUCGGGAGGCUGAGGCAGGAGAAUCACUUGAACCCAGGAGAUGAAGGCUGCAGUGAGCCGAGGUUGUGCCACUGCACUCUAGCCUGGGUGACAGAGCGAUAUUCUGUCUCAA